GUUAGUACAAUAAACAAUAAUACUUUUCACUUCAAGCCAUGCAAAGUUCAUGUCACAUAUUUUGGAUAAAGAGAUAUCUGAAUCAUUAGAGGUCUGGCUUGCUUCAGUCUUAUCAUAGCUAUGAUUCUCCUCACCACAGCACUUACAGGAAUAGAAUACUGCAGCUCACGGACCUGUCAUCUGCCUUCUAGAUUCAAUAAACAGUCCUGAAGAAUGUGGGAAAAGAGCAGAGGGUAAUGAUCAGCACCUACAAGCAGGGUUUGUCUGAGCCCAGUCACCACAUGCAUGCCCAGAGAUGUCUUCCCUGAGAUGUUCUGCAAGGAGAAAGCCAGGAACGGCAGGGCUGUGGCUUCUGUCCCCCCAGCCAACCCUACUCCUUUCAUUCCUUUCCACACCGCAGGAGGGGGAAACCCUGCCAUGGAAGGUCCCCUCCAAGUGGGGAUCAGGA
This is a long non-coding RNA of Apus apus (common swift), 448 nucleotides long. RefSeq lists it as uncharacterized. The record is from RefSeq and is a predicted model, not a curated record. Lineage: Eukaryota; Metazoa; Chordata; Aves; Apodiformes; Apodidae. The transcript has 3 exons.